GCAAGUCAAACGAGCAGUCACAUGAACUUCGGUUCGAGUGGUGGGCGAGUGGCGAACGGGUGCGUAACACGUAGGAAAUCUACCUUUAGAUGAGGAAUAACCAUUGGAAACGGUGGCUAAUACCACAUAUUGUUCAGGUAUCGCAUGAUACUUGAAUGAAAGCCUUGGGGCGUCUAUGGAUGAUCCUGCGGCGGAUUAGCUAGUUGGUGAGAUAAUAGCUCACCAAGGAAACGAUCCGUAGCUGGUCUGAGAGGAUGAGC
RNAcentral lists this ribosomal RNA (260 nucleotides) under uncultured bacterium. Its description in RNAcentral is "partial 16S ribosomal RNA". It matches the Rfam family "Bacterial small subunit ribosomal RNA", at positions 57 to 305 of the family's 1533-position model. The record is from RNAcentral.